Molecule: ribosomal RNA, 237 nt
Filed under: Ambystoma bishopi (reticulated salamander)
Lineage: Eukaryota; Metazoa; Chordata; Amphibia; Caudata; Ambystomatidae
Description: partial 12S ribosomal RNA
Source: RNAcentral
AGAGACCCUAAUUAAUUAAUCACGGCCCAAAGAGCGGUUAAAUGGAAAUUUACACAAUAGUUUUAAAAAUUAACCAAGCAGUUAUACGUAAUAGUUAAAUCUAAAAUCAACAACGAAAGUAACACUAGCAAAUAAAGAAUAUUGAAGCCGCGAGAGCUAUGAUACAAACUGGGAUUAGAUACCCCACUAUGCCUAGCCAUAAACUUUGACAUAUCCGCCAGAGUACUACGAGCAACA